UACGGAGGUGCAGCGUUAAUCGGAAUUACUGGGCGUAAAGGGCGCGUAGGCGGCUGAUCAAGUCAGGUGUGAAAGCCCACGGCUUAACCGUGUGAAGUGCAUCUGAAACUGGUCGGCUCGAGUAUCGGAGAGGAAAGUGGAAUUCCCGGUGUAGAGGUGAAAUUCGUAGAUAUCGGGAGGAAUACCGGUGGCGAAGGCGACUUUCUGGACGAAUACUGACGCUGAGGCGCGAAAGCGUGGGGAGCAAACAGGAUUAGAAACCCGAGUAGU
Molecule: ribosomal RNA, 270 nt
Filed under: uncultured bacterium
Lineage: Bacteria
Description: partial 16S ribosomal RNA
Rfam family: Bacterial small subunit ribosomal RNA
Source: RNAcentral